RNAcentral lists this transfer RNA (75 nucleotides) under Schistocerca americana (American grasshopper). RNAcentral describes it as "tRNA-Thr". It matches the Rfam family "tRNA". Rfam says of the family: Transfer RNA (tRNA) molecules are approximately 80 nucleotides in length. Their secondary structure includes four short double-helical elements and three loops (D, anti-codon, and T loops). Further hydrogen bonds mediate the characteristic L-shaped molecular structure. tRNAs have two regions of fundamental functional importance: the anti-codon, which is responsible for specific mRNA codon recognition, and the 3' end, to which the tRNAs corresponding amino acid is attached (by aminoacyl-tRNA synthetases). tRNAs cope with the degeneracy of the genetic code in two manners: having more than one tRNA (with a specific anti-codon) for a particular amino acid; and 'wobble' base-pairing, i.e. permitting non-standard base-pairing at the 3rd anti-codon position. Lineage: Eukaryota; Metazoa; Arthropoda; Insecta; Orthoptera; Acrididae. The record is from RNAcentral. RNAcentral also lists the same sequence under 1 other name.
GCCCGCGAUGGCUCAGAUGGAUAGAGCAUCUGCCAUGUAAGCAGGAGAUCCCAGGUUCGAGUCCCGGUCGGGGCA